This 278-nucleotide small nuclear RNA is filed under the name Anolis carolinensis (green anole). RNAcentral's name for it is "7SK RNA". It matches the Rfam family "7SK RNA". Rfam says of the family: 7SK was discovered as an abundant small nuclear RNA in the mid-70s but a possible function has only recently been suggested. Two independent studies have found that 7SK RNA binds the CDK9/cyclin T complex (known as elongation factor P-TEFb). P-TEFb activates transcription by phosphorylating the C-terminal domain of RNA polymerase II. The record is from Rfam by way of RNAcentral. Lineage: Eukaryota; Metazoa; Chordata; Lepidosauria; Squamata; Anolidae.
GGAUGUGAGGGCGAUCUGGCUGCGACAUCUGUCACCCCAUUGAUCGCCAGGGUUGAUUCGGCUGAUCUGGCUGGCUAGGCGGGUGUCCCCUUCCUCCCUCACCGCUCCAUGUGCGUCCCUCCCGAAGCUGCGCGCUCGGUGGAAGAGGACGACGUCCCAGGUAUAGAAGGAGUGUACCGAGGUCUCCAGUCUUCGGUCCCGGGUACGAUAUUGAUAUUCAAGACUAAUACAGUUAUAUCCAUGAAGAACAAACUAUAAGGCAUAGCAGGCUCAGCUAU